Molecule: ribosomal RNA, 497 nt
Filed under: uncultured bacterium
Lineage: Bacteria
Description: partial 16S ribosomal RNA
Rfam family: Bacterial small subunit ribosomal RNA
Source: RNAcentral
GAUGAACGCUGGCGGCGUGCCUAAUACAUGCAAGUCGAGCGAACGGACGAGAAGCUUGCUUCCUUGAUGUUAGCGGCGGACGGGUGAGUAACACGUGGAUAACCUACCUAUAAGACUGGGAUAACUUCGGGAAACCGGAGCUAAUACCGGAUAAUAUUUUGAACCUCAUUGUUCAAAAGUGAAAGACGGUCUUGCUGUCACUUAUAGAUGGAUCCGCGCUGCAUUAGCUAGUUGGUAAGGUAACGGCUUACCAAGGCAACGAUGCAUAGCCGACCUGAGAGGGUGAUCGGCCACACUGGAACUGAGACACGGUCCAGACUCCUACGGGAGGCAGCAGUAGGGAAUCUUCCGCAAUGGGCGAAAGCCUGACGGAGCAACGCCGCGUGAGUGAUGAAGGUCUUCGGAUCGUAAAACUCUGUUAUUAGGGAAGAACAUAUGUGUAAGUAACUGUGCACAUCUUGACGGUACCUAAUCAGAAAGCGACGGCUAACUACGUG